Molecule: ribosomal RNA, 383 nt
Filed under: Eugongylus sp.
Lineage: Eukaryota; Metazoa; Chordata; Lepidosauria; Squamata; Scincidae
Description: partial 12S rRNA
Rfam family: Bacterial small subunit ribosomal RNA
Source: RNAcentral
GCUCAGCCGUCAACAAAAACAGUUACCAUACAAGACUGUUCGCCAGAGAACUACAAGAAAACACUCGAAACUCCAAGGACUUGGCGGUGCUCCACAUCAACCUAGAGGAGCCUGUCCUAUAAUCGAUACCCCCCGAUCUACCCCACCGCCCUUUGAAACUCAGCCUAUAUACCGCCGUCGUCAGCUUACCCUGUGAAAGAAAUAAAGUAGGCAAAAUAGUUACCAACUAAAACGUCAGGUCAAGGUGUAGCUUAUAGGCCGGAAGAGAUGGGCUACACUCUCUCACCCAGAGAAUACGAACAGCACAAUGAAACCCUGCUUAAAGGUGGAUUUAGCAGUAAAAAAGACGAGAACAUCUAUUUUAAACCCGCCCUGGAGCGCGC